CUAGCGUUGUUCGGAAUUACUGGGCGUAAAGCGCGCGCAGGCGGUUCUCCAAGUCAGUGGUGAAAGCCCGGAGCUCAACUCCGGAACUGCCAUUGAAACUGUUGAACUUGAGGACGAGAGAGGUGAGUGGAAUUCCCAGUGUAGAGGUGAAAUUCGUAGAUAUUGGGAAGAACACCAGUGGCGAAGGCGACUACCUGGCCUGUUCUUGACGCUGAGGCGCGAAAGCUAGGGGAGCAAACGGG
This 242-nucleotide ribosomal RNA is filed under the name uncultured bacterium. RNAcentral's name for it is "partial 16S ribosomal RNA". It matches the Rfam family "Bacterial small subunit ribosomal RNA", at positions 535 to 776 of the family's 1533-position model. The record is from RNAcentral.